GUGGGGAAUCUUCCGCAAUGGACGAAAGUCUGACGGAGCAACGCCGCGUGAGUGACGAAGGUUUUCGGAUCGUAAAGCUCUGUUAUCGGGGAAGAACACUCUUCAUGUGAACAAUGUGGAGAGAUGACGGUACCUGAUGAGGAAGCCACGGCUAACUACGUGCCAGCAGCCGCGGUAAUACGUAGGUGGCGAGCGUUGUCCGGAAUUAUUGGGCGUAAAGCGCGCGCAGGCGGGAUAUUAAGUCUGCUCUAAAAGUGCGGGGCUCAACCCCGUAGAGGGGUAGAAACUAAUAUUCUUGAGUGCCGGAGAGGAAAGCGGAAUUCCCAGUGUAGCGGUGAAAUGCGUAGAUAUUGGGAGGAACACCAGUGGCGAAGGCGGCUUUCUGGACGGUGUCUGACGCUGAGGCGCGAAAGCCAGGGGAGCGAACGGGAUUAGAAACCCGUGUAGUCC
Molecule: ribosomal RNA, 450 nt
Filed under: uncultured bacterium
Lineage: Bacteria
Description: partial 16S ribosomal RNA
Rfam family: Bacterial small subunit ribosomal RNA
Source: RNAcentral